UUUUAAAGACUUUUAAUGAGUUUAAAAGUCUAGAGGUAUUCAACUAUGACUUUUAAAUAGUCUAUAAAAGUACAAUGGUAUUCAAUUGUGAAUUUAAAAAGUGUUCAAAAGUUUUGGGGUAUCCAAAAAGUUAAUGACUUUUGAAAACUUUGUUAAAUGAAUGACUUUUCAAUACUUUUAAAGCUAAUUCUUAAUACUAAAAAUCUUGCUAAUUUACCCAAGAUUUUAUCCAUGACUUCGAUCAUUCUAUAGCUGUGCCCAUUGUGAGGGUGCACUAUCAUGUUUGGGUCUCUAGACCCCCUCCCUCUUUGGUUGGUGUACUAUCAAUAAAACCACCACUGUUUAGGAUGGUCUCCCUUGCCCACUGCAGCACUAGGUUUGUACAGAUUAUGGUUGGCUUGUGACGUUCUUGUGGCUUUCUGAAGCAGCAUCUUUCCUAGCUUUCCAAUCUGUAUUCAUGUUCUUUGUAUUUGGUUGUUCCGUUUUCUGUUUGCUCGUAGUCCCACUACAUUUAUCAAUGCUGGAGAUAAAUAUUAGAAGCAAUUUCCUGUGGUUAUACUACUCUAUGAUAAAUAUUAAAGGAUAAAUACUAUUCACAAAAUAAAUAUUAAAAAAAAGUAUAUAAAAGUAUGUAAAACUCUAUGAUAAAAGUAUAUGAAAGUAUAUCACUAACUUUAUAAAGUAUGUAAAAGUCGUUAAGAAUUUGUCAACUCUAUGAAAGUCACUCACAAAAAGUCUUUAAAAGUUAUAAUUGAAUACACCCCCCCUGAAAUACUUUUAUAGAGUUGAUAAAAGUCACUCGUAAAUUGGUAAGAUUUUUGCUAUUAACAAUUAGCCUAAAAAGUAUGGAAAAGUCAUUCAUUUAGUAAGCAUUUUAAAAGUCAUUAACUUUUUGGAUACCACCAAACUUUUAAAGGCUUUUUAAAAGUCACAAUUGAAUACCACCAAACUUUUAAAUACUUAUAACUACUUCUUAAAAGUUACAAUUGAAUACCACUAGACUUUUAUAAACUCUUUAAAAAUUGAAAUUGAAUACUUCCAGACUUUUAAACUCUAUAAAAGUCAUUAAAAGCUUGAAUUGUAUACACCCCUUUAGUUUUUGAGUGCUGCUAAACGAAUCCUAAAAUUAACUAAGUAUAUACCCUACUACCAAACUAUUUAUUGAAUUACUAAUUUACCCUAUAUAAAAUGACCAUAAAGGAUAUAUAUAUUGAAUUAUGAAACAAAUAUAAUUUUAAUAAAUACACUCUACUCACAAUAUUCAACCAUAAUCAAACGUAGAGAAGUUUUGGUGGGUUAAGCAACAAGUUCGGCAACGAUGAAGUAUAUUUUGUUAAAAUGUUUUGUUAAUUAGCUUCGGUACUUAAUUACUUUAAGUAUCUAACGUUGAUGUUUUAUUGACCGACUAGCUGUAAAAGGAAGAGAACCAAGUUUGAUAAUUUUACCGAACAUGAAAGUCUUCUGCCA
RNAcentral lists this long non-coding RNA (1467 nucleotides) under Prunus persica (peach). RNAcentral describes it as "long non-coding RNA (PPER_LNC005880)". The record is from RNAcentral. Lineage: Eukaryota; Viridiplantae; Streptophyta; Magnoliopsida; Rosales; Rosaceae.